CAGUCGCCGCGGUAAUACGGAGGGGGCUAGCGUUGUUCGGAAUUACUGGGCGUAAAGCGUGCGUAGGCGGUUCGUUAAGUCUGCUGUGAAAGCCCCGGGCUCAACCUGGGAGUGGCAAUGGAUACUGGCGAGCUAGAGUGUGUCAGAGGAUGGUGGAAUUCCCGGUGUAGCGGUGAAAUGCGUAGAGAUCGGGAGGAACAUCAGUGGCGAAGGCGGCCAUCUGGGACAACACUGACGCUGAGGCACGAAAGCGUGGGGAGCAAACAGGAUUAGAUACCCGCGUAGUCCCUGUCUCUUAUAC
Molecule: ribosomal RNA, 301 nt
Filed under: uncultured bacterium
Lineage: Bacteria
Description: partial 16S ribosomal RNA
Rfam family: Bacterial small subunit ribosomal RNA
Source: RNAcentral